GAGAUUGAGGGUGAUUAGGUUAGAACUAGGAUGUUUUAGUGUAGAUCAUUCAUAUUUCCUUGCUAGUUGAGUGAGCAUAAUGCAUCUUCUGAGUUGGCCACUCAGUAGUUGAACCUUAGGCAUUCCCCCCCCGAAAGGUGUUCGAGGAAAUGCCCGAGACAACUCUUCUUAGCUUUUAGCAUACUUUGCCAAAGACAUUUGUUGUUAGAGGUGCUAAGAUAGCCAUUGGAC
RNAcentral lists this long non-coding RNA (231 nucleotides) under Brassica rapa (field mustard). RNAcentral describes it as "long non-coding RNA (BRAP_LNC005795)". Lineage: Eukaryota; Viridiplantae; Streptophyta; Magnoliopsida; Brassicales; Brassicaceae. The record is from RNAcentral.